This 246-nucleotide unclassified non-coding RNA is filed under the name Hevea brasiliensis (rubber tree). Lineage: Eukaryota; Viridiplantae; Streptophyta; Magnoliopsida; Malpighiales; Euphorbiaceae. The record is from RNAcentral.
GGUUUGUCUACUUGUUAACUGAUUCAAGCAUUUCUAGGGACAUGUUUUAACGUAUAUGAUUUCAUUAUUUGGGAUUUAUUCUGUGGGAUUGGAUACUAGAUUAGUGAAAUUAAUCAAGGAUAAUCGUGAUUCUUGAGGAGAUGAAAUGCACUAAUUAGAAUGGAUGCAUACAUCAGUUCAGAAAGGUAAAUUGUUCAAUGUAGAAGUGAAAAUUACAGUCUAACCAAAAGGCCAUCACUAUACGAG